AUUGAACGCUGGCGGCAGGCCUAACACAUGCAAGUCGAGCGGAUGAAGGGAGCUUGCUCCUGGAUUCAGCGGCGGACGGGUGAGUAAUGCCUAGGAAUCUGCCUGGUAGUGGGGGAUAACGUCCGGAAACGGGCGCUAAUACCGCAUACGUCCUGAGGGAGAAAGUGGGGGAUCUUCGGACCUCACGCUAUCAGAUGAGCCUAGGUCGGAUUAGCUAGUUGGUGGGGUAAAGGCCUACCAAGGCGACGAUCCGUAACUGGUCUGAGAGGAUGAUCAGUCACACUGGAACUGAGACACGGUCCAGACUCCUACGGGAGGCAGCAGUGGGGAAUAUUGGACAAUGGGCGAAAGCCUGAUCCAGCCAUGCCGCGUGUGUGAAGAAGGUCUUCGGAUUGUAAAGCACUUUAAGUUGGGAGGAAGGGCAGUAAGUUAAUACCUUGCUGUUUUGACGUUACCGACAGAAUAAGCACCGGCUAACUUCGU
RNAcentral lists this ribosomal RNA (483 nucleotides) under uncultured bacterium. RNAcentral's name for it is "partial 16S ribosomal RNA". It matches the Rfam family "Bacterial small subunit ribosomal RNA", at positions 30 to 506 of the family's 1533-position model. The record is from RNAcentral.